Molecule: non-coding RNA, 764 nt
Filed under: Pan troglodytes (chimpanzee)
Lineage: Eukaryota; Metazoa; Chordata; Mammalia; Primates; Hominidae
Source: RNAcentral
CCAAGGGCCGCGCCGGGGUUCUGCACUGUCACUGCGCUGCGGUUCCCCGCCUUAGGGAUUCUCACACGGUUCCACGGCUCCGGGCCCGGCGGCACCGCAGCCAUCUUGCGAGGCGGGGGGACUUAAGAAAGGCGGAACUACGCGAGAGCACGUCGAGCGACCGGAGUCUGGAACAGUUCCUCGUUCUUUCUCUGGCUCUGGAUCUGCGUCCCUGACAGUCUUAAAGAGGACAGACCUUUCAUUCAUGAGGAUGACCCUCAACUUGGCCCAGUCCAUGUUUCCUCAGACUCAAGCCUUGCAUUCCUGGCAGAAAGACUGAAGAAAUGAUGCUGUGCUCUUCUCAGUGCUUCACGUCAGGAGGCUCUACUCUCUCAACCGGCCCCACUAUUGACGCAGUCUCAUCCUGUCACCUGGGCCGGAGUGCAAUGGCGCGAUCUCGGCUCACUGCAACCUUCAUCUCCCGUGUUCAAACGAUUCUCCUGCCUCAGCCUCCCAAGUAGCUGGAAUUACAAGCACCUGCCACCAUGCCCAGCUAAUUUUUGUAUUUUUAGGAGAGAUGGGGUUUCACCAUGUUGGCCAGGCUGGUCUCAAACUCCUGACCUCGUGAUCCGCCCACCUUGGCCUCCCAAAGUGCUGGGAUUACAGGCGUGAGCCACUGUGCCUGGCCGAGACUGUUAAGAUUUUAUUGCCCUAGUACCAGCAGUUAUGAUGUUCCAUAGAACUCAUAGCUGAGCCCAUGCCAGGGAUUCCCCAGCUCACUGAAG